GGGCGUGGCGGCAGGCUACACAUGCAGUCGAACGGCAGCACAGAAGAGCUUGCUCUUUGGGUGGCGAGUGGCGGACGGGUGAGUAAUGUCUGGGAAACUGCCCGAUGGAGGGGGAUAACUACUGGAAACGGUAGCUAAUACCGCAUAACGUCGCAAGACCAAAGUGGGGGACCUUCGGGCCUCACACCAUCGGAUGUGCCCAGAUGGGAUUAGCUAGUAGGUGGGGUAAUGGCUCACCUAGGCGACGAUCCCUAGCUGGUCUGAGAGGAUGACCAGCCACACUGGAACUGAGACACGGUCCAGACUCCUACGGGAGGCAGCAGUGGGGAAUAUUGCACAAUGGGCGCAAGCCUGAUGCAGCCAUGCCGCGUGUAUGAAGAAGGCCUUCGGGUUGUAAAGUACUUUCAGCGGGGAGGAAGGCGGUGAGGUUAAUAACCUUGCCGAUUGACGUUACCCGCAGAAGAAGCACCGGCUAACUCCGUGCCAGCAGCCGCGGUAAUACGGAGGGUGCAAGCGUUAAUCGGAAUUACUGGGCGUAAAGCGCACGCAGGCGGUCUGUUAAGUCAGAUGUGAAAUCCCCGGGCUUAACCUGGGAACUGCAUUUGAAACUGGCAGGCUUGAGUCUCGUAGAGGGGGGUAGAAUUCCAGGUGUAGCGGUGAAAUGCGUAGAGAUCUGGAGGAAUACCGGUGGCGAAGGCGGCCCCCUGGACGAAGACUGACGCUCAGGUGCGAAAGCGUGGGGAGCAAACAGGAUUAGAUACCCUGGUAGUCCACGCCGUAAACGAUGUCGACUUGGAGGUUGUGCCCUUGAGGCGUGGCUUCCGGAGCUAACGCGUUAAGUCGACCGCCUGGGGAGUACGGCCGCAAGGUUAAAACUCAAAUGAAUUGACGGGGGCCCGCACAAGCGGUGGAGCAUGUGGUUUAAUUCGAUGCAACGCGAAGAACCUUACCUGGCCUUGACAUCCAGAGAACUUAGCAAAAAUGCUUUGGUGCCUUCGGGA
Molecule: ribosomal RNA, 1001 nt
Filed under: Pantoea sp.
Lineage: Bacteria; Pseudomonadati; Pseudomonadota; Gammaproteobacteria; Enterobacterales; Erwiniaceae
Description: bacterial SSU rRNA
Rfam family: Bacterial small subunit ribosomal RNA
Source: RNAcentral